AGCAGCCGCGGUAAUUCCAGCUCCAAUAGCGUAUAUUAAAGUUGUUGCAGUUAAAAAGCUCGUAGUUGAAUUUCGGGGUUAGUAGGUUGGUCAUGCCUCUGGUAUGUACUGGUCUCACUGAUUCCUCCUUCCUGAUGAGCCGUAAUGCCAUUAAUUUGGUGUUGCGGGGAAUUUGGACUGUUACUUUGAAAAAAUUAGAGUGUUUAAAGCAAGCUAACGCUUGAAUACAUUAGCAUGGAAUAAUGAAAUAGGACGUUCGAUCCUAUUUUGUUGGUUUCUAGGAUUGACGUAAUGAUUAAUAGGGAUAGUUGGGGGCAUUAGUAUUCAAUUGUCAGAGGUGAAAUUCUUGGAUUUAUUGAAGACUAACUACUGCGAAAGCAUUUGCCAAGGAUGUUUUCAUUAAUCAAGAACGAAAGUUAGGGGAUCGAAGACGAUCAGAUACCGUCGUAGUCUUAACCAUAAACUAUGCCGACUAGGGAUCGGAUGAUGUUAAUUUUUAAUGACUCAUU
RNAcentral lists this ribosomal RNA (509 nucleotides) under uncultured Glomus. Its description in RNAcentral is "SSU rRNA". It matches the Rfam family "Eukaryotic small subunit ribosomal RNA", at positions 569 to 1080 of the family's 1831-position model. The record is from RNAcentral. Lineage: Eukaryota; Fungi; Glomeromycota; Glomeromycetes; Glomerales; Glomeraceae.